RNAcentral lists this ribosomal RNA (425 nucleotides) under uncultured bacterium. RNAcentral describes it as "partial 16S ribosomal RNA". It matches the Rfam family "Bacterial small subunit ribosomal RNA", at positions 354 to 796 of the family's 1533-position model. The record is from RNAcentral.
GUGGGGAAUCUUGCGCAAUGGGCGAAAGCCUGACGCAGCCAUGCCGCGUGGAUGAUGAAGGUCUUAGGAUUGUAAAAUCCUUUCACCGGUGAAGAUAAUGACUGUAGCCGGAGAAGAAGCCCCGGCUAACUUCGUGCCAGCAGCCGCGGUAAUACGAAGGGGGCUAGCGUUGCUCGGAUUUACUGGGCGUAAAGGGCGCGUAGGCGGACAUUUAAGUCAGGGGUGAAAUCCCGGGGCUCAACCUCGGAACUGCCUUUGAUACUGGCUGUCUUGAGUUUGGGAGAGGUGAGUGGAACUCCGAGUGUAGAGGUGAAAUUCGUAGAUAUUCGGAAGAACACCAGUGGCGAAGGCGACUCACUGGCCCAAUACUGACGCUGAGGCGCGAAAGCGUGGGGAGCAAACAGGAUUAGAAACCCCAGUAGUCC